AGAUUGAACGCUGGCGGCAUGCCUAACACAUGCAAGUCGAACGGGAGUAGCAAUACUCUAGUGGCGGACGGGUGAGGAAUACGUAGGAAUUUGCCCUUAAGUGGGGGAUAACCCGGGGAAACCCGGAUUAAUACCGCAUGACCUCGAAAGAGCAAAGUGGGGGAUCGCAAGACCUCACGCUUUUGGAGAAGCCUACGUCGGAUUAGCUAGUUGGUGAGGUAAUGGCUCACCAAGGCGACGAUCCGUAACUGGUCUGAGAGGAUGAUCAGUCACACCGGAACUGAGACACGGUCCGGACUCCUACGGGAGGCAGCAGUGGGGAAUAGUUGGACAAGUGGGCGCAAGCCUGAUCCAGCAAUGCCGCGUGUGUGAAGAAGGCCUUCGGGUUGUAAAGCGUACUUUAACGGUUAGGAAAGAAAAACUCGACUACGUAACACAGUGAGUCUUGACGUACGACAGAA
RNAcentral lists this ribosomal RNA (461 nucleotides) under uncultured soil bacterium. Its description in RNAcentral is "bacterial SSU rRNA". It matches the Rfam family "Bacterial small subunit ribosomal RNA", at positions 26 to 484 of the family's 1533-position model. The record is from RNAcentral.